AACGAACGCUGGCGGCAUGCCUAACACAUGCAAGUCGAACGAGACCUUCGGGUCUAGUGGCGCAUGGGUGCGUAACGCGUGGGAACCUGCCCUUAGGUUCGGAAUAACUCCCCGAAAGGGGUGCUAAUACCGGAUAAUGUCUUCGGACCAAAGAUUUAUCGCCUUUGGAUGGGCCCGCGUUGGAUUAGCUAGUUGGUAGGGUAAAAGCCUACCAAGGCGACGAUCCAUAGCUGGACUGAGAGGAUGAUCAGCCACACUGGGACUGAGACACGGCCCAGACUCCUACGGGAGGCAGCAGUGGGGAAUAUUGGACAAUGGGCGAAAGCCUGAUCCAGCAAUGCCGCGUGAGUGAUGAAGGCCUUAGGGUUGUAAAGCUCUUUUACCCGGGAUGAUAAUGACAGUACCGGGAGAAUAAGCUCCGGCUAACUCCGUG
RNAcentral lists this ribosomal RNA (433 nucleotides) under uncultured bacterium. RNAcentral's name for it is "partial 16S ribosomal RNA". It matches the Rfam family "Bacterial small subunit ribosomal RNA", at positions 29 to 507 of the family's 1533-position model. The record is from RNAcentral.